GGGGUAAAGUGACUGUACAUAGAUAAUAAACAGUAGUACAGGUUAGUUGAGGUAAUCUGUACAUGUAGGUAGGGGUAAAGUGACUGUACAUAGAUAAUAAACAGUAGUACAGGUUAGUUGAGGUAAUCUGUACAUGUAGGUAGGGGUAAAGUGACUGUACAUAGAUAAUAAACAGUAGUACAGGUUAGUUGAGGUAAUCUGUACAUGUAGGUGGGGGUAAAGUGACUAUGACAUAGAUAAUAAACAGUAGUACAGGUUAGUUGAGGUAAUCUGUACAUGUAGGUGGGGGUAAAGUGACUGUACAUAGAUAACAAACAGAGUAGCAGCAGUGUAAAAACAAAGGGAUGGAGGUUAAUAUAAAGUAUAUAAAAUAUAAAGUCCGGUGGCCAUUUGAUUAAUUGUUCAGCAGUCUUAUGGCUUGGGGGUAGAAGCUGUUAAGCAGCCUUUUGGGCCGAAACUUG
Long non-coding RNA from Oncorhynchus tshawytscha (Chinook salmon), 461 nucleotides. NCBI's taxonomy places the organism in Eukaryota, Metazoa, Chordata, Actinopteri, Salmoniformes, Salmonidae. The record is from Ensembl.